Molecule: long non-coding RNA, 403 nt
Filed under: Cavia porcellus (domestic guinea pig)
Lineage: Eukaryota; Metazoa; Chordata; Mammalia; Rodentia; Caviidae
Description: lncRNA (ENSCPOG00000030565.1)
Source: RNAcentral
AAGAAAGGCUCGAUAGAAGGCUUGGCAUGUGAGUGAGACAGGCAGAGGAAGCCCUGUGCACACAGCCAUGCUACUGUGGGAGCCAGGAAGCGAUGCCGGGGAAGGCAGCUGUAGGUGUCACCGCCAUGAGAUCUGUACCGUCAGGUGCUGUCAGGUGGAAAUGGCAGGGUCCCGGAGACGCUGCGCUGGCUGGACCUUCCUGGAAGUUCCGGAAAGCCAGCGAGGACGUGAAGAACGAGAAGUCUCUGGAGAAAGUGGCCUCCCAGAUGGACAGAUAUCACAAGAUAUUUCCAACUUCCAAGUCAGCAGAGAAUAUCAGAACAGGCAUGAAACUGAACACAGCCCCAGCAGCAGUCUUAUUUUCCCGGAGAUGGAAGAUGCAGAUGGUAGUUUGCCAGCCUAA